Molecule: long non-coding RNA, 4572 nt
Organism: Thunnus maccoyii (southern bluefin tuna)
Lineage: Eukaryota; Metazoa; Chordata; Actinopteri; Scombriformes; Scombridae
Exons: 4
Source: RefSeq, a predicted model, not a curated record
GCAUACUGACUUUCUCUGGAGGAGAGACAAGAGACACGCAGAGUCAACAAGAGGGCAGCGGUAGAGAUGUUUUGAUAGUUUUAUCGAUUAAAACCCUGGAUCAGCAUCGGCCCAACACGGGGACAGAGACAAAGCAUAAGCUCUGGUAUUUCCCACCUGUCAUCACAAACAUGAGUGUUUCUGUGCUGGAAGGAUGUGCCUUAAUCACUUUUAGUGUCUAUUGGAGAGUAGUGUUCCAGACGAACCAAGCUCAAACAAGUUACAUACCUCUAAACUUCAUAAAUGACAACAUUUUGUGUACAAAAAAGAUAUGAAAAAUAAGGCUAGAGGAAAACAAAUAAGUAGAAUUAGCCUUUAAUGAACUUUUACAGUGCUUUGGUUGGACAGAGGGUGUGAAAAAGAGGAAGGGGAAUGCACAGACUGAUGGAUAUUUAGCACCUGAUUAGCAGUAGUGAGGACAAAGUAGCCAGGCCAUCUGCUUUACAUUUUCUCCUUUGGCCAUGAAUGCCAAGGACAGAGAGUCUUCACGGUAGAUACCCAGCCUGCCAGUUGUUUAUACACAGCAGCAGAACUACCACCAAAAUACUAUGUGAUUAUCAUCAGCGACUGGAGUCAGUCAGUUUCAGUGUGAUUGAAGUAGUGAAAGUCUUCCCAAUAUUAAUUUGGUUGGAAAGCGCUGUGUGGUUUUUGUAAUGCCUUUUUGAGCAGAUGUUAUGUUGUUUACACAGUAGAUUUGUUGUGAUAUACAGUGCACACUAUAUUAUGCACUAUAUUGGACUGUAAAUACACACCAUUCCCAACAUACAGUAUGUAUGCUGUGACAUGUGGUUUUCAUGUUGAUUGCCUUUAGCCACAUUUUUCACUCUCGGUUUAUUUACCGUAAUUUCUUGUUCUCAUCGAGGGACUGAGACUGGCAGGUAUUACUUUUCAUUUAAUCAUGUUAAAAGCUGUAUGUGUGACACUCUUUGGGACUGAGAAAGAUUAAACUUCAAUGAUUUUUUUUCCAAUCGCACACUUUUCUGAUUUGAUUUGUUUGGAAAUAAUAUCUUAUUCAACUUUCUAAAGUAAUAAUUACCACAGACAAUAAGAUGCAAAAAUUAUCAUGAAGGAAGGAACAAACCUCAAAUAAAUAAAUAAAUGGAAAGAAAAAAAUACCAGCUAAUGCCCCUCUCUUUACACUAAACUCUGACACACAAUAAUGUAUAAUAUUCACCUGAAUUCACCUGAACCUUGGCAACUUUAAAGCAAUAGUUCAAAAUUUUGGGAAAUACAUUUAUUAACUUUCUUGCUAAUAGUUAGAUGAGAGGUUAGCUUAGCUUGGCAAAAAGAAAGGUAUAACAGCUAGCAUGGCUCUGUCCGAAGUUAGCUGUUAAAUAAACAAGAUAUAACAUGUCAAUAUGUAAGCGUUAGCGCUGCUUGUAGGUGGGUUUUGUUAACUUUGAACUGAGUCAAGUUAACUGUUUUGCCCCCUGUUGACAGUCUUUGUUUUAAGCUAAACUAAAGGGCUGUUGGCUGUAGGCUUAUAUUUAAUGGAGAGAGAGAUAAGAGUGAUAUCCAUCUUCUCGUUUUUUAAAUACUCUUUAUUACAGCAACAGUAGAAACAUGCCAGGAAAACAAGGGGAGAGAGAGAAGGGGAACGACAUACAACAAAGUUCAGCAAUCAAACCACGGACGUUGUGAUUAAGUCAAGUGGGAAAUGAUCAAAUCAAGGUGGAAAGAGUGGAGUUUGUAUCAAAAAAUAACGCUAGCCUACACAAAUGGAUAAAGGUCCCAAAAAGCGAAAAAGGUGAGAGAGAAAAAGAAAAAACAAUCUUGUGGCUGAUGCUACGAAAUGUUUUAAGUUAACAGAUUUAUUCAAAAUAUACACUGCCACGCAAAAUCCUGCUAGCAUUAGCAUGCAUAGCUGCAGUGAUAACAUUAACAGUCCACCACCAAAUGAAGAGGAGGAAAAAGUCUGGACAGAUGAGCAGGCUGCUUCCAGUGGAGAGCAGGGGCAAGAGGAGGAAACCGCUGCCAAGGACGAGUGAAACUUGUUAGCUAACGUUAGCUCAUGUAGUGACAGUGUUCACGACGGAGCUCUGGACCUGACCCUCUCCAUUACGCACAUGGCAUGCGAGCACAACUUCUUUACUUUAAAAUUCAUCAAGAAUAGACUAUGGAGCACUACAUGUUGAAGUACAUGCUUAUAGCUACAGAAAAAUACAUUCUUAUGGCUUUGGACACUGAUGGAAUAAUCAACAGGAUGGCAUAGAGGAGCGCACUGAUGAGAUGUCUUCUCACUGCAUAAGAUGGACACAGAGUACACUCUUAUGCACCUGAGAGGCGACUUGCCACGGUUGAGUGUCAUUGAGGAACCUGCUCAGAGUGUGUGACGGCAGUGGAUUGUCAGAGACCCACCAGACGGUGCGAUGGUACAGCAGGGCUUAUGAUCACACCAAGGCUCUGACUUGUCGACCAUACCGCCGCCUAACACCGUUCACAUCUCCUCAAGCACUCACCUCUAAGAGCCGCACUUGCUUUCAAUGCAGAUCCAUACGGUGUUUAGGAUCGGAGGGAGGAGAGCGCUCCAUCAUAGCCUGUACUGUAAGUGCUUUGAGGCAUUUUGCUUUGUUUAAUGCACAUGAUCCUGCUUUUCAAAUUUUAUCUUUGGUUCUUAGCAUUUGUGUUUUGUUAGCAUGUCUGGCUAACUAGAUUACAAUCUACGGUAAUAACUGAGAUUUACUUCCAAGGCCUUAAGGGGCACAUCAUUAACUGACUACAUCACUUUGUGGAGUUACGGGUUAUGUAAAAACAUUUUCCGGGGAGAUUCAGCUUUAGCCAUGCCAUUUGGCCUUUUAGCGUUAUACUGUAUAAUGUACAAGAUACUUGUUUUAAAACGAGUCAUCUGGAAAAGUCAGCCAGUUACUGCGUUUUCAACCAACUCAUGGAGCUAACGUUAGCUUAAUUAGCAAGCUACAACUUGCAACCAGCAACAGUCAUUUCAACUAGCAAGAAAUGUCUGCUAGAAAUGUCUACCUCUGUCUAAAACUAAGGACCCAGUGUUUCAGAAAUUACUAAGAAUUUUGGUGUCAUAUGGCAUAUCAUUGUGAACUGCAUAUGAGCCAUGCAAGGACAAUCAGAAAUUUGACAGGCCUCGCAACAGUAACUAUGGGUAAUGUGGCUUUGUGAACGGUCAAUUCCCUGAAUUUAUUUGACAUACACUGUGGCCAGCAUUGUAGUCUUUUGACAUUUGUUUUUCUGUAGGUUGUGUUCAUUUCUGUCCUGUUCAGCCAUAAUGGCUAUCACUGUUCAUGCUAGAACCUCAGUUUUGUUUAUUCCCCCCCAAAAUGCUGUUGAAACUUGUAGAAAAAUUUAAUUUAUCAUCUCAGAGAGUGUUUGUACCAGUAACGACCCAUGUAGUAGACACAUAGCAGGAGUUUUAAUUAGCUCUAUGAACCUGCUGUAAUAUGAAUCACUGUUGUGUUAAAUACGUUUUAGAAAUGAAGAAGGUUAUGGAUAAAUACAAUUUUAUUAAUGAGAAAAGUCAACAUCAACUGACCAGUGUCCAUGUGGUCACUGCCUUUGCCCCGUGUUAUUGCCUCUUCCUGUCUAUCUGUGCCUUUGCCUCCCUCUGUCUGCCUCCACCCCGGGUGCCUGUGUCUGUAAGCCUCUCUACCUGGCUGCCUGUCGCCCUGCCUGUCAGACCGACUAUCUACCUAUCAAUCUGUGAGUAUGUCCGCCUGCGUGUGGCGAUAAGGAGCCGUGGGUGUCUGUAGCCCUGACACCAGCUGAUUUAUGCCGGCCUCUUUCCCUUUAGGGGGCCGAUUUGUGAGAAAAUCCCCAACGACUCAUGCUGACUUUGUGUGCGCGAGUGUGUAUCUGUUUGUCAGGCUGUUUGCAUGUGCGUGUGUGUGCUGUGCCAGGAUCGUCUGUCAAAACAAAGAUGACAGGGAGCUGUAACUCUUUUAUUGCCAUAUUUCAGCUUCUGUACAUCACUCAAACCUGAUUUAAUAUUUGAAUUCCCUUUUUUUAAACAACAUGAAAAGUAUUCAUUUACAGAAGCAUGUCUGAGUCUCUCCCACAAACCAGAUGGGUGAAAUCAAUAUGCAAUAAAAGAUAAAUGAGUAAAACACAACGUAUUGCUAACUCAACUUAAAAGUUGAUGACUUCCACUACUAAAAGAAGGCUGCUAUUUGAUUUAAGUUAAAAAUGUAUGUGUUUUUUUGUAUUAAAUCAAUUUAAAUGAUUCUGGCCAAGCUGUGCUCAUUUGCUACAAAUCAAGAAAGCUUUCAUUGUUAAUCCCCAACAUUCUACACACAAAUAAACCUGAACAUACAUGUCAACGUUCCCAUUUCGCUUGUGAGCUGGAGGUCAAAGCCAAGCUAAUGUCAUAUCCUUAGAAAGUAACUCAACACUAAAUCCACUUUUUUGAGUUAGUAAAAUAUGUGUAUUGUCACUUUAUUACAUGGUCAAUUGAUCCUGGUCCUGGUUAAUUUUCUUUUUGUAGAGAAAAUCCAGUAAUUCUGUCUUCUAGAGCAACCAAGAAUCUAUGAUGUUCCCUGGUUCAAUUCACCCUCAAACUACAAAGCAAUG